This 301-nucleotide ribosomal RNA is filed under the name uncultured bacterium. RNAcentral describes it as "partial 16S ribosomal RNA". It matches the Rfam family "Bacterial small subunit ribosomal RNA", at positions 509 to 809 of the family's 1533-position model. The record is from RNAcentral.
CAGCCGCCGCGGGAAUACAGAGGGUGCGAGCGUUAAUCGGAUUUACUGGGCGUAAAGCGUGCGUAGGCGGCUUUUUAAGUCGGAUGUGAAAUCCCUGAGCUUAACUUAGGAAUUGCAUUCGAUACUGGGAAGCUAGAGUAUGGGAGAGGAUGGUAGAAUUCCAGGUGUAGCGGUGAAAUGCGUAGAGAUCUGGAGGAAUACCGAUGGCGAAGGCAGCCAUCUGGCCUAAUACUGACGCUGAGGUACGAAAGCAUGGGGAGCAAACAGGAUUAGAUACCCCGGUAGUCCCUGUCUCUUAUAU